This 474-nucleotide long non-coding RNA is filed under the name Chelonoidis abingdonii (Abingdon island giant tortoise). RNAcentral describes it as "lncRNA (ENSCABG00000009705.1)". The record is from RNAcentral. Lineage: Eukaryota; Metazoa; Chordata; Testudines; Testudinidae.
ACAGCACAGUAACAUACAUGUUUUCGUUACUUUUCUCCUAUCACUACUCCUUGUCAGAUUUCUGUUUUUCCUCUGGGAUUUUCCUUUCUGCAGUGUGCUGUAGGGGCUAAAGCUUGAACAACCAGUGAGUUGACUAGACAGAGGCUCUGCUUUCUGGGACACCCUGGGGGUAUUUUAAUUCAUCACGUCGUAUGGAAUCCCACUACAACCCACGCACAGACCAAGAGUGCCACCAAAGAGAUGCUGUUGAAGCCUUGAACAACUUCUGCAGGCAGGGAGUGAAUAUUUCAUUCAAAAGAUAUUUCACCAACGUGAGCAAAGCAGAGUGUGAGUCCGCUGACCACUCACUGGGAAUUUGUUGUGCACAUCAUCAAACCAACAAGUCCUUGCAUGAAUAAUAAGAAUAGAGCAGUCGGGAUAUCUACCGACCAUGUGACCAGGAUGGUGAUGGUGGCUGUGAAAUGCUUGGGAAGA